CGGACAAACGCUGGCGGCGUGCCUAACACAUGCAAGUCGAACGGAAAUUUAUUAAGUUACUUGGUAAAAUUUUAGUGGCGGACGGGUGAGUAACGCGUGGGUAACCUGCCCCAUAAGACCGGGACAACCCUUGGAAACGAGGGCUAAUACCGGAUAAUCUUAGAACUUGGCAUCAAGAUUUAAGGAAAGGCGGCCUCUGAAGAUGCUGCCGUUUAUGGAUGGACCCGCGUCUGAUUAGCUAGUUGGCAGGGUAAAGGCCUACCAAGGCGACGAUCAGUAGCCGGCCUGAGAGGGUGACCGGCCACACUGGGACUGAGACACGGCCCAGACUCCUACGGGAGGCAGCAGUGGGGAAUCUUCCGCAAUGGACGCAAGUCUGACGGAGCAACGCCGCGUGUAUGAAGAAGGUCUUCGGAUUGUAAAGUACUGUUAUUGGGGAAGAAAGGCAGUAUUGAGAACAUUGAUACUGGAUGACGGUACCCAAGGAGGAAGCCCCGGCUAACUACGUG
RNAcentral lists this ribosomal RNA (509 nucleotides) under uncultured bacterium. RNAcentral describes it as "bacterial SSU rRNA". It matches the Rfam family "Bacterial small subunit ribosomal RNA", at positions 27 to 507 of the family's 1533-position model. The record is from RNAcentral.